Molecule: long non-coding RNA, 382 nt
Filed under: Homo sapiens (human)
Lineage: Eukaryota; Metazoa; Chordata; Mammalia; Primates; Hominidae
Description: LNC_000696
Source: RNAcentral
GUUGCUGUUGCUGUUCCUGGGAUGUCCUUCAUCAGCAAUUUUAAGUUUAUCCUCAUCCGAAGAGUCAUCACUUGAUGAAAUUAUGGCUUUGGAUUUUAUUUUUCCCUUCAUUGAUGGAGGCAGACGUUCUGGCUUGGGAGCCUUUUUCUUCUCUGCUUUUGGUGGACGUCGUUUUUUUGGUUUGGGGCCAUUUUCUGUUUCAUCAUCAUCAGAUCCUUCUUCUCCCUUUGGAUGUCUUCUCCUCUUUUUCUUCUUUCUCUCACCACCCUCCUCAUCUUCACCUUCUUGUUCACUGCCACUACCCUUUCUUCUCUUCUUCUUUUUGGAUAUAGGUAGGUCAUCAUCAGUGUCAUCAUUGACAAAUUCAUCAAACUCUCCUCCC